UCCGGUUGAUCCUGCCAGAGGUUACUGCUAUCGAGGUCCGACUAAGCCAUGCGAGUCGAAUGUAGCAAUACAUGGCGUACUGCUCAGUAACACGUGGACAACCUGCCCUUAGGUUGGGUAUAAACCCGGGAAACUGGGUAUAAUCCCCUAUAAGUCUCGGCUGCUGGAAUGCACCGAGAUUAAAAGCUCCGGCGCCUAAGGAUGGGUCUGCGGCCUAUCAGGUAGUAGUGGGUGUAGCGUACCUACUAGCCUACGACGGGUACGGGUUGUGAGAGCAAGAGCCCGGAGAUGGAUUCUGAGACACGAAUCCAGGCCCUACGGGGUGCAGCAGGCGCGAAAACUUUACAAUGCUGGCAACAGCGAUAAGGGAACCUCGAGUGCCAGGUUACAAAUCUGGCUGUCGAGAUGCCUAAAAAGCAUUUCAUAGCAAGGGCCGGGCAAGACCGGUGCCAGCCGCCGCGGUAACACCGGCGGCUCGAGUGGUAACCGUUAUUAUUGGGUCUAAAGGGUCUGUAGCCGGCCGGAUAAGUCUCUUGAGAAAUCUGGCAGCUUAACUGUCAGGCUUUCAGGAGAUACUGUCUGGCUCGAGGCCGGGAGAGGUGAGAGGUACUUCAGGGGUAAGGGGUGAAAUCUUGUAAUCCUUGAAGGACCACCAGUGGCGAAGGCGUCUCACCAGAACGGACCUGACGGCAAGGGACGAAAGCUAGGGGGCACGAACCGGAUUAGAUACCCGGGUAGUCCUAGCCGUAAACGAUACUCGCUAGGUGUCGGCCACGGUGCGACCGUUGUCGGUGCCGUAGGGAAGCCGUGAAGCGAGCCGCCUGGGAAGUACGGCCGCAAGGCUGAAACUUAAAGGAAUUGGCGGGGGAGCACCACAACGGGUGGAGCUUGCGGUUUAAUUGGAUUCAACGCCGGAAAUCUUACCGGGACCGACAGCAAUAUGAAGGCCAGGCUGAAGACUUUGCCGGAUUAGCUGAGAGGUGGUGCAUGGCCGUCGUCAGUUCGUACUGUGAAGCAUCCUGUUAAGUCAGGUAACGAGCGAGACCCA
This 1048-nucleotide ribosomal RNA is filed under the name unidentified archaeon. Its description in RNAcentral is "bacterial SSU rRNA". It matches the Rfam family "Archaeal small subunit ribosomal RNA", at positions 1 to 1054 of the family's 1478-position model. The record is from RNAcentral.